GAUGAACGCUAGCGGCAGGCUUAACACAUGCAAGUCGCGGGGCAGCGGGGGAUGAGCUUGCUCAUCCCGCCGGCGACCGGCGCACGGGUGAGUAACACGUAUGCAACCUGCCCCUGUCAGGGGGACAACCCACCGAAAGGUGGGCUAAACCCGCGUACAUCCGGAGGGGGCAUCCCCUUGGGAGGAAAGGAGCGAUCCGGACAGGGAUGGGCAUGCGGCGCAUUAGCUAGACGGCGGGGUAACGGCCCACCGUGGCGACGAUGCGUAGGGGUUCUGAGAGGAAGGUCCCCCACACUGGUACUGAGACACGGACCAG
RNAcentral lists this ribosomal RNA (316 nucleotides) under uncultured bacterium. RNAcentral describes it as "bacterial SSU rRNA". It matches the Rfam family "Bacterial small subunit ribosomal RNA", at positions 28 to 334 of the family's 1533-position model. The record is from RNAcentral.